This is a long non-coding RNA of Gasterosteus aculeatus aculeatus (three-spined stickleback), 1138 nucleotides long. The record is from Ensembl. NCBI's taxonomy places the organism in Eukaryota, Metazoa, Chordata, Actinopteri, Perciformes, Gasterosteidae.
CACACACACACACACAGGUCGCUGGGCCGAGUCCAGAACAAACACGAUGGGAUGUUGGUGUUUACACACCACGCGGAUAUAUGAUUGACAUUUGGCAUGCGGCUAAAAGGAUUACACACACACGUAUGUGCGCAGAGACCUAACGUGACGGACAAAGAGGACAUUUACACAUAAUCACCUAUUCUCUAUUCUCGGCUACUCGUAGCUCUCCAACUGGCCACGCAAGCUUCCCACAUUCCAACCUGCACCGCUGUCUUUUCAGCACUCUUACCUGAAUACUUCCACCACCGCUGGUCAUUAUUGAUCGCUGUGAUCGUUUGCUCUGGUCUGGAAGCUGAUCUGAGAUCUGUCAUCCUGUCACUGUCUCUCUUUGAUCUGCGGGACGAGCUCAGAGGAUGUUUAUUCCUCACCUAAAGUGUUGACAGGUGUCAAGGGGGGGCUGCCCAGGGGACAGAAGACAGCUCUCUGUGAGGACGUGUCUCUUCCUGCUGAGACACAUCGGCCAUCAUCGCCCCCGAGCCCCCCGCUGAGCCUCUGCUUCACAUGCAUAUGAGAGGUGCUACUCUAUGAUGGAGUCACAUCGCUGGUUUAACACGAGACUUCACAGCAGAAGGAGAACAACACGGACGUCCUCCAGCAGAUGUUUGAAGGAAAGAAGACGUCGCUUCUCCAAUUCUCAACGUUUGAAUGAUUUUAGGUUGUUUGAAAAGGAGACAGAAACAAAAAGAGAGAGUUAGAUACGGAAGGAAGGGAGCGGGGAACCAAGUUACCAAAUCACUGGAUAAAGUGGGGAUUUAAAAUCGAAAGAAGAAGAAAUUUAGCAACUAAAACCAAAAAUCAAAUGAGAUGUCUGUGAGGAAAAAGGGAAGAUGAUCAAUAAGAUGAAAAAAAAAGACUUUAUCCCGUCACUUGCGUCACAGAUUUCAAUCUAUCUGAUGACUAUCUUAUUAAAUAAUUGUUUUAAUGUUAAAACUAUGUGUGUAUAUGGAUCUAUAGAUACAAUGUGGACUCGUAGAAACCCCCCGGAGGACCCUGGGGAGCCCCCACGCCUCAGUUUGAGACCCCCCCCGUCACUCAGCGCUGAGCAGCUCUAAACGGUAAUUUAUGUGUUGUUGUUGAGGACAAAUUGCUGCAGGAG